CGGUUAGCAAAUUGUUUGUAGCCUUCUCACCAUGGCUUUAGUUUGGUGAGGUGGAUAUUGAGGGUUCAUUGGUUGCUAGUAUUAUUUUAAACAAGAUAGAUUUGGUGACUGAGGCUGAAUUGGAGGUGUUGACAAAGCGAAUUCAGUUAGGCUUUCACCUUGUACAUAGAUAGAUUUUACUUGUAUCUUUGAAAUGUGGUUACUCAUUGAAUUGGGAGGGUUAGAGGUGUUUUUAGACUGUUCCAAGAGAAACUGAACUUGUAUGAAUGUGGAAAGUGGUAAAACGGUUGUUGGCAUUUUUAUAUCUAUUUGAUUCCGGCAUAAUGAUCGAUUCUUUGAAGUUUAGGCACUUCUUCGGUUAGUUCAGCUGUGGGUUUUGCUGUUGCCUUUUGACAAGCCAAAUUUAACUUUAGUCUGGUUUUGAUAUAUAUUUUUCUAUAUUAAUGUUAUGGUCAACUCGUCUACUGAAAAUUGCAUUAUGUGAAAUUUCUUAUUUUAAAAUUUCUGAACACAAAAAGUAAUUACAAUAUUUUACACAAUAGGUAUCUGUUUGUGCAGUCAAUGGGGUAUAAAAUUAAAAAAAUAGAAAUGAAAAUUUAAGAAUGCAUUUGAAGCUUACAUGUCUAUAACAAACUAGGGUUAAUACUGAAAGUGCUCAAUAGGUUCAAUUAUUCAACUUAUUCAUGUAAUAGUUUAUGGUAUAGCCUUGUGCUAGUAUGUUGCUUAAUUUGUCAUAUAUGUUCUACUGGUAUAGCUUUAUGUUAAAUGAACAGUGAAUUCUCUUUCAUCUUUCCUUGGCAUGCUAUUGAUUCUGCAGCUUUUGGAUUUUUGGUGCACUUUUGUCAGCAUAUCAAUGGGAUGACACAGUUAAAGCUGGCUAAAUAUGGCGUUGUCGACAUGGACUUUGUUUUGGGAGUGGGCGGUUAUGAUCUAGAUAGGUGAUUCAGAGUUUUUUGCUUUUUUCAUAGUAUUUUUUUCCCUAUUUGUGGUUAGGAAAUACAAAUGGCGCUGCAUAUCCAUAUCAUAAGUGGUAUUGGGUAAUAUCAUAUUCCAUGACGUUUGAACAUGCCAUUCGUUUUGCAGAAUUGAUUCAGAGGUUCAGUCGGAUAGUUCUCAUUGUGAAUCCCAUCAGUGUUGUUAAAGGCGCGCCUAGGCUCAAGGCUCAGGUUUAGCGCUUGUUGCCAUCCCAGGCUCAUUGAUGUUGGAAAUGAGAAAGACCGGAUCGAGGUGAAGAUGAGAAACGGUGUACAGAAGAUGGUCAUUUCCAAAUGGAAAGGCAUCACCACCAUCAAAAUCAACAACUGAGCUUCCAUCGCUGUCCUUCCGAGCUCAUCUAUGUUCAUCAUGUUUGCUUAAUUCUUUUUUAGGGUUUGUUCAUUGAUCGAUUGAUCUCUUUUGAUUUCACUAUGUUCUGGUUUUUGAAGCUUUGAAAAAUGUUGAUGCUCUAUGUAGUUGAUGGAUCUUUUGUUUGAGGGUUCCCAAAUCCCAACUGAAAAAUGUUGAUGCUUUGCGUGUGCACCACAAAUUUCUGUGUAGAAACAUGCCAAACGGGAGAAUACAAAAUUCUCUUUCUAAUUUCUGAAC
Long non-coding RNA from Cornus florida, 1584 nucleotides. RefSeq lists it as uncharacterized. The transcript is spliced from 3 exons. NCBI's taxonomy places the organism in Eukaryota, Viridiplantae, Streptophyta, Magnoliopsida, Cornales, Cornaceae. The record is from RefSeq and is a predicted model, not a curated record.